This 477-nucleotide ribosomal RNA is filed under the name uncultured bacterium. Its description in RNAcentral is "partial 16S ribosomal RNA". It matches the Rfam family "Bacterial small subunit ribosomal RNA", at positions 28 to 507 of the family's 1533-position model. The record is from RNAcentral.
GACGAACGCUGGCGGCGUGCCUAACACAUGCAAGUCGAACGAAGCACCCCACCUGAUUCUUCGGAUGAAAGUUUGGUGACUGAGUGGCGGACGGGUGAUUAACGCGUCGGUAACCUGCCCUGUACAGGGGGAUAACAGCUUGAAACGGCUGCUAAUACCUCAUAAGCGCACGAGGAGACAUCUCCUUGUGUGAAAUACUCCGGUGGUACAGGAUGGGCCCGCGUCUGAUUAGCUGGUUGGCAGGGUAACGGCCUACCAAGGCAACGAUCAGUAGCCGGUCGGGGAGGAGGAACGGCCACAAUGGAAGUGGGACGCGGUCCAGACUGCUACGGGAGGCAGGGGUGAGGAAUAAUGCAGAGUGGGCGAGAGCCUGAUGCAGCACCGCGGGGUGAGUGAAGAAGUAGUUCGGUAUGUAAAGCUCGAUCAGCAGGGAGGAUUAUGACGGUACCUGACGAAGAAGCGCCGGCUAACUACGUG